Molecule: ribosomal RNA, 342 nt
Filed under: uncultured Oxalobacteraceae bacterium
Lineage: Bacteria; Pseudomonadati; Pseudomonadota; Betaproteobacteria; Burkholderiales; Oxalobacteraceae
Description: bacterial SSU rRNA
Rfam family: Bacterial small subunit ribosomal RNA
Source: RNAcentral
AGAGUUUGAUCCUGGCUCAGAUUGAACGCUGGCGGCAUGCUUUACACAUGCAAGUCGAACGGCAGCACGGGCUUCGGCCUGGUGGCGAGUGGCGAACGGGUGAGUAAUAUAUCGGAACGUACCCAGAAGUGGGGGAUAACGUAGCGAAAGUUACGCUAAUACCGCAUACGAUCUACGGAUGAAAGUGGGGGACCUUCGGGCCUCAUGCUUUUGGAGCGGCCGAUAUCUGAUUAGCUAGUUGGUGAGGUAAAGGCUCACCAAGGCGACGAUCAGUAGCUGGUCUGAGAGGACGACCAGCCACACUGGAACUGAGACACGGUCCAGACUCCUACGGGAGGCAGC